This 69-nucleotide transfer RNA is filed under the name Camelus bactrianus (Bactrian camel). It matches the Rfam family "tRNA". Rfam says of the family: Transfer RNA (tRNA) molecules are approximately 80 nucleotides in length. Their secondary structure includes four short double-helical elements and three loops (D, anti-codon, and T loops). The record is from Rfam by way of RNAcentral. Lineage: Eukaryota; Metazoa; Chordata; Mammalia; Artiodactyla; Camelidae. RNAcentral also lists the same sequence under 2 other names.
GGGGGAGCUCAGUGGUAGAGUGUGUGCUUAGCAUGCACGAGGUUCUGGGUUCAAUCCCCAGUACCUCCU